RNAcentral lists this ribosomal RNA (1451 nucleotides) under Chryseobacterium sp. T86F.09.P.MUS.NO.H.Kidney.D.M. RNAcentral's name for it is "bacterial SSU rRNA". It matches the Rfam family "Bacterial small subunit ribosomal RNA". Lineage: Bacteria; Pseudomonadati; Bacteroidota; Flavobacteriia; Flavobacteriales; Weeksellaceae. The record is from RNAcentral.
UGAACGCUAGCGGGAGGCCUAACACAUGCAAGCCGAGCGGUAUUGUUUCUUCGGAAAUGAGAGAGCGGCGUACGGGUGCGGAACACGUGUGCAACCUGCCUUUAUCUGGGGGAUAGCCUUUCGAAAGGAAGAUUAAUACCCCAUAAUAUAUUGAAUGGCAUCAUUCGAUAUUGAAAACUCCGGUGGAUAGAGAUGGGCACGCGCAAGAUUAGAUAGUUGGUGAGGUAACGGCUCACCAAGUCUACGAUCUUUAGGGGGCCUGAGAGGGUGAUCCCCCACACUGGUACUGAGACACGGACCAGACUCCUACGGGAGGCAGCAGUGAGGAAUAUUGGACAAUGGGUGAGAGCCUGAUCCAGCCAUCCCGCGUGAAGGACGACGGCCCUAUGGGUUGUAAACUUCUUUUGUAUAGGGAUAAACCUACUCUCGUGAGAGUAGCUGAAGGUACUAUACGAAUAAGCACCGGCUAACUCCGUGCCAGCAGCCGCGGUAAUACGGAGGGUGCAAGCGUUAUCCGGAUUUAUUGGGUUUAAAGGGUCCGUAGGCGGAUUUGUAAGUCAGUGGUGAAAUCUCACAGCUUAACUGUGAAACUGCCAUUGAUACUGCAAGUCUUGAGUGUUGUUGAAGUAGCUGGAAUAAGUAGUGUAGCGGUGAAAUGCAUAGAUAUUACUUAGAACACCAAUUGCGAAGGCAGGUUACUAAGCAACAACUGACGCUGAUGGACGAAAGCGUGGGGAGCGAACAGGAUUAGAUACCCUGGUAGUCCACGCCGUAAACGAUGCUAACUCGUUUUUGGGUUUUCGGAUUCAGAGACUAAGCGAAAGUGAUAAGUUAGCCACCUGGGGAGUACGUUCGCAAGAAUGAAACUCAAAGGAAUUGACGGGGGCCCGCACAAGCGGUGGAUUAUGUGGUUUAAUUCGAUGAUACGCGAGGAACCUUACCAAGGCUUAAAUGGGAAAUGACAGGUUUAGAAAUAGACUUUUCUUCGGACAUUUUUCAAGGUGCUGCAUGGUUGUCGUCAGCUCGUGCCGUGAGGUGUUAGGUUAAGUCCUGCAACGAGCGCAACCCCUGUCACUAGUUGCCAUCAUUAAGUUGGGGACUCUAGUGAGACUGCCUACGCAAGUAGAGAGGAAGGUGGGGAUGACGUCAAAUCAUCACGGCCCUUACGCCUUGGGCCACACACGUAAUACAAUGGCCGGUACAGAGGGCAGCUACACAGCGAUGUGAUGCAAAUCUCGAAAGCCGGUCUCAGUUCGGAUUGGAGUCUGCAACUCGACUCUAUGAAGCUGGAAUCGCUAGUAAUCGCGCAUCAGCCAUGGCGCGGUGAAUACGUUCCCGGGCCUUGUACACACCGCCCGUCAAGCCAUGGAAGUCUGGGGUACCUGAAGUCGGUGACCGUAACAGGAGCUGCCUAGGGUAAAACAGGUAACUAGGGCUAAGUCGUAACAAGG